UGUUUCGGCUAGGGGGCCAUCCCGGCUUACCAACCCGAUGCAAACUGCGAAUACCGGAGAAUGUUAUCACGGGAGACACACGGCGGGUGCUAACGUCCGUCGUGAAGAGGGAAACAACCCAGACCGCCAGCUAAGGUCCCAAAGUCAUGGUUAAGUGGGAAACGAUGUGGGAAGGCCCAGACAGCCAGGAUGUUGGCUUAGAAGCAGCCAUCAUUUAAAGAAAGCGUAAUAGCUCACUGGUCGAGUCGGCCUGCGCGGAAGAUGUAACGGGGCUAAACCAUGCACCGAAGCUGCGGCAGCGACACUGUGUGUUGUUGGGUAGGGGAGCGUUCUGUAAGCCUGCGAAGGUGGCCUGUGAGGGUUGCUGGAGGUAUCAGAAGUGCGAAUGCUGACAUAAGUAACGAUAAAGCGGGUGAAAAGCCCGCUCGCCGGAAGACCAAGGGUUCCUGUCCAACGUUAAUCGGGGCAGGGUGAGUCGACCCCUAAGGCGAGGCCGAAAGGCGUAGUCGAUGGGAAACGGGUUAAUAUUCCCGUACUUGGUGUUACUGCGAAGGGGGGACGGAGAAGGCUAUGUUGGCCGGGCGACGGUUGUCCCGGUUUAAGCGUGUAGGCUGGUUUUCCAGGCAAAUCCGGAAAAUCAAGGCUGAGGCGUGACGACGAGGCACUACGGUGCUGAAGCAACAAAUGCCCUGCUUCCAGGAAAAGCCUCUAAGCAUCAGGUAACAUCAAAUCGUACCCCAAACCGACACAGGUGGUCAGGUAGAGAAUACCAAGGCGCUUGAGAGAACUCGGGUGAAGGAACUAGGCAAAAUGGUGCCGUAACUUCGGGAGAAGGCACGCUGACAUGUAGGUGAAGUGAUUUACUCAUGGAGCUGAAGUCAGUCGAAGAUACCAGCUGGCUGCAACUGUUUAUUAAAAACACAGCACUGUGCAAACACGAAAGUGGACGUAUACGGUGUGACGCCUGCCCGGUGCCGGAAGGUUAAUUGAUGGGGUCAGCGCAAGCGAAGCUCCUGAUCGAAGCCCCGGUAAACGGCGGCCGUAACUAUAACGGUCCUAAGGUAGCGAAAUUCCUUGUCGGGUAAGUUCCGACCUGCACGAAUGGCGUAAUGAUGGCCAGGCUGUCUCCACCCGAGACUCAGUGAAAUUGAACUCGCUGUGAAGAUGCAGUGUACCCGCGGCAAGACGGAAAGACCCCGUGAACCUUUACUAUAGCUUGACACUGAACAUUGAGCCUUGAUGUGUAGGAUAGGUGGGAGGCUUUGAAGUGUGGACGCCAGUCUGCAUGGAGCCG
This 1294-nucleotide ribosomal RNA is filed under the name Salmonella enterica subsp. enterica serovar Glostrup. RNAcentral describes it as "partial 23S ribosomal RNA". It matches the Rfam family "Bacterial large subunit ribosomal RNA", at positions 911 to 2188 of the family's 2925-position model. The record is from RNAcentral. Lineage: Bacteria; Pseudomonadati; Pseudomonadota; Gammaproteobacteria; Enterobacterales; Enterobacteriaceae.